AUUGAACGCUGGCGGCAGGCCUAACACAUGCAAGUCGAGCGGAUGAAGGGAGCUUGCUCCUGGAUUCAGCGGCGGACGGGUGAGUAAUGCCUAGGAAUCUGCCUGGUAGUGGGGGAUAACGUCCGGAAACGGGCGCUAAUACCGCAUACGUCCUGCGGGAGAAAGUGGGGGAUCUUCGGACCUCACGCUAUCAGAUGAGCCUAGGUCGGAUUAGCUAGUUGGUGGGGUAAAGGCCUACCAAGGCGACGAUCCGUAACUGGUCUGAGAGGAUGAUCAGUCACACUGGAACUGAGACACGGUCCAGACUCCUACGGGAGGCAGCAGUGGGGAAUAUUGGACAAUGGGCGAAAGCCUGAUCCAGCCAUGCCGCGUGUGUGAAGAAGGUCUUCGGAUUGUAAAGCACUUUAAGUUGGGAGGAAGGGCAGUAAGUUAAUACCUUGCUGUUUUGACGGUACCAACAGAAUAAGCACCGGCUAACUUCGUG
This 484-nucleotide ribosomal RNA is filed under the name uncultured bacterium. Its description in RNAcentral is "partial 16S ribosomal RNA". It matches the Rfam family "Bacterial small subunit ribosomal RNA", at positions 30 to 507 of the family's 1533-position model. The record is from RNAcentral.